UGAGGGAUAUUGGUCAAUGGGCGCAAGCCUGAACCAGCGACGCCGCGUGGGUGAAGAAGGUCUUCGGAUCGUAAAGCCCUUUUCCCACUGAAGAGGAAGGACGGUAGGUGGGGAAGAAGUCUCGGCUAACUACGUGCCAGCAGCCGCGGUAAAACGUAGGAGACAAGCGUUAUCCGGAGUUACUGGGCGUAAAGGGCGUGCAGGUGGCGUCUUAAGUCUGUUGUGAAAGCGCCUGGCUUAACCGGGCGAGGCCAAUGGAGACUGAGAGGCUGGAGGACGGCGGAGGGGUGUGGAAUUCCGGGUGUAGUGGUGAAAUGCGUAGAGAUCCGGAGGAACACCAGAG
RNAcentral lists this ribosomal RNA (343 nucleotides) under uncultured bacterium. RNAcentral describes it as "bacterial SSU rRNA". It matches the Rfam family "Bacterial small subunit ribosomal RNA", at positions 355 to 714 of the family's 1533-position model. The record is from RNAcentral.